ACUGGUUUCAGUUCUAAACUCUGCCAAUUUCUAGAUGUGUGAUCUGUAAAAAAGUCACAAACUUUCCAUGUCUUAGUCCUCAUAUUUUCAAAACAGAGUUAGUAAUAUCCCACAGAGUUUUCAUGGAGGAAAACAGGAUAAUUUAUAUUAAAUUCAAUGAUUAUUAUUACUGUUUUGCUAUUAUUAUUACUACUACAACACCUUGGAUGACUGGUGUCUAGUAUUUACUCAAAAAUAAUUCAUCAUACAACUUUUCUGGAUGACAUUUUUUAAUUAAAAAAGCAAAAAAUAUCUAGCCACAGUGGAGUAUUUGGAACACAUUAGAGAAAUCAUAAAGGAAAUGGUGCUUCAGCUAUUAAUUAUAUCAUUACUGACAAUAAUAUGGCAUAUGAUAGAAAAGGGUUUGAUAAAGCUAAGAAGAGCUUUUAGAGCUGCAGUGAAAUAAGAGCCAACAUCAAUUCAUGCCAAAAAAAGCAAGAGAAACAAAAGGAAUUAAACUAAACUAAGAGCUACUGUUUAAAGUAGUGUGUGCAAAUGUGGGACUAGUAAGCAUUUGGCCAAUGAACAAUUAUGAUUGUUGAUUAUUUCCUAGCUAGUAUUCUUUAGAAAUUUAAGGUAUUAUAAUUCUAACACUGAUUCACAUUUAAAUUCUGGUUUUUUUAUAUUCAGGAAUGCCUGUAAAUAUACAGGGAACAUUUAAGCAUCCCAAUUCUCCUCUUAAUCCUCACACUUAAAGAAUAGUGUCUUUUAAUUCAGAGAUUCGGUGGGCCCCAGUGUUAAUCUAAAACUUUCUUUUUAAUCCUUAUAAUAUUAGAAUAUCAUAGAAAAUAUAUUAACCCCAUGACUUUUAGUUAAAAGGGAAAAUGAACUUUAAAAAUUCACAGAAUAGCAAAUAAAUGUGUAUUCUAACAUAGAGGUGAAUUCUAGAGUAACUACGCAAAAUCUAUUUAGAUAUGUAGACAUUAACAUUGGCGAAAAAGCUUAGAAACCAAGAAGUAAGUUUUGACUGUUAAUAAGGUAAAGAUUUAAGUAUUAUCCAUUUUAUGACUAAAUUUGAGCCAAUGCUCUGGCACAAGGUAUGUUGUAAUAAUAUAUGAUGAGGCUUUGAUCCUGGUAUUCUUAUGCGUAUUCUUCCUUUCUUUUCCAGUCUUUUCUUUUUUAUCCCUGAUUUUAAAAAAAGUUUUAGUGUUUCAAUUAGUGGAUAUCAUUUCAAGUUAUAUUCCUGACCAUAAAUGAAUGCUUUGUUAGAUUUCUGUUGGCUGCAAAAUUCAGAUCCUUAAUAUAGACAAUACUUGCUGUUACAAUAAAAUUGUAUACAUGAAAAACAAUAAUGGAAGUGCUAUGGACUUUGCCAAUAUGAACAUCAUUUAAACAUCAUUUCAAGCUCUAAUCCUUAAGUGAAAGAUCUUUAAAAAAUUAAAAGUCAUAAAUAAUUCAUAUCCCUUAGGAAUUUGUAACAUUGAUUAGACUUUAUAAUGCAUCUGAUAGUAAACAGUAAUGAAUUCACUUUCCAUUAUUUAUUACAGUAAAUCUCACUGUACUUUAUAAGUUUUAAAAAUUUGAAGACAAAUCCAAAAGUGAAGGGAUACAAAUGAUACUACUUUAUCCAUGCUUUUAUUAUUAUGAUUUGUAAUUAAUAACAUGAGUUGCUGAAUUGUGGAGGGGUUUGUUAAUUGCUUCCUGUGUUAACAAUUUAACAGGGAUCUGGAGUACAAAAUCAUUUCAUCAUUUUUGGAAAAUCCAAUAAUUCACUUUUGAUAGCCAUUGUUUCCCUAUAAAAUAGAUCAGUUUAGAGGCAGCAAUUUGCACCAGGAUUGUAAUAUCCAUAGCUCUGGUAACUAAGCUACCAUUUGUUCCCCUCAGAAACUGUUGGAAGUUGUCUUCUAUUUUAUCUUUUUUUUUUUUGUCUUUUUAGGGCUGCACCCACAGCAUAUGGAGGUUCCCAGGCUAGGGGUCGAAUCAGAGCUGUAGCCACUAGCCUAUGCCACAGCUCAUGGCAAUGCCAGAUCCUCAGCCCACUGAGAGACCAGGGAUCGAACCUAGGUCCUCAUGGAUGCUUGUCAGGUUUGUUAACCACUGAGCCAAGACAGGGACUCCUAUUUUAUUUUUUAAAUUAAUUUAUUUGACACAAUAGUGUGAGCCUCCUAAGCAUAGGCAUAGAGCGGGAAUAUACCCAAAAAACAAAGAAAAAAUUCCUCCCCUCCCCACUUCUGUCCUACCUCCCUCGCUCCCUUCCUUCCUCCCUCCCUCCUUCCUUACCUCUCUCCUUCCCUCCUUCCUUCCUUUCUUCUUUCCUCCCUUUCUCUCUCUUUGUUUUUCUUCUCAUAUUUCCAAGCCUGCUUUCCUAUUAGAUUUUUUAAAAGUCAAAUCUACCUCUUGUGCCUUUUAAGAAUAUUUUCUCCAAAUUAAUUUUUCUCUUUAUGAUUGUCAAUAGGCCAAUAAUAUUGUUGAUGUUUUUAUUGGUGGCCUUUGGGCAUUUUUUUCCCCCAUUACUCUACCAUGAAAUUCUCUAUAGCUCAGUUUAAUGAGAGCCUCUUUGAAGCAAUUUGCAGCUGAUAUUUUUCUUUGGAGCAAUGUUCUUUCUUACCAUUUUAUCUUAUGCUAUGUGUCCUCAUUUAUGACUUUCUCAUUUCUCUUUUCUUGCACAAUUUUAAAUUAAUUACAGUAGUUUGUUAUGGAUGAGAACACUUUUUUCCAUUUUUUAUUGAAGUAUAGUUUAUGUACAAUAUUACAUGUACCAGGUGACAACAUAGUGAUUCACAAUUUUUUAAGGACUUAUUCCAUUUAUAGUUACUACAAAAUAUUGACUAUAUUCUUCAUGUUGUAAAAUACAUUGUUGUAGCUUAUUUUAUUUUUCCUUUCAUUUAUUUAAAAUCUUUCCUCCUUCAUCCCUUUGCCGUGUAUCUAUACACACACUCACUAUAUACAUUGUAAAAUGUGUUUCCUAAAUCUAAGGAUGCCUUUCUUAUACAUUCCUGUCAUACUUCUUGUUAUUAUCCCUUUCAACUUUGCCUCUCACAUUAGAUGUAUUUAGAUGUUCUCAUUACACUUUUCAGUCUUUUACUGUCCACUAAUUUUUUGUUUCUCUGGGAUAUAUUUCAUGUAACUAUUUCCUGUAUAUCUUUUACUUGUUUGUUCUUUGGUUGCACCUGUGGCAAAAGGAAAUUCCAGGGCCGGGGGUGAAUCUGAGCCACAGCUGAGACCUAUGCCAUGGCUGCGGCAACACCAGAUCCUUUAACUCACUGUGCCAGGCCAGGACCAAACCCACACCUCUGCUAUGACCCAAGCCACUGAAGUUGGAUUCUUAACCCACUGCACCAUAGUGGGAACUUCUUAUCUUUCUUUUUUUAUUGAAGUAUAGUUGAUUUACAAUGUUAUGCUAAUUUCUGGUGUGCAACAAAGUGAUUCAGUUUUAUGUAUAUCAUAUAUAUAUAUAUAAAUUUUAUAUUGUACAAUGAAAUGAUUUUGUUAUAUAUAUAUAAAAUCUUUUUCAUAUUUUCUAUCCAAUAUAUAAUAGUUUACAUCUACUAGUCCCAAACUCCCAGUCCAACCUUCUUCUGCUCCCCUCAUGGCAACCACAAGUCUCUUCUCUCUGUCUGUGAGUCUGUUUCUGUUUCUUAGAAAAGCGUGUCAAAAAUGUAUUUGAAAAAAUUAUGCUGAAAACUUCCCAAACCUAAAGAAGGAAACAGAUAAAUUUCAAUUCACUUUUGUGUCCUGCAACACUGGAAUAACACAGCCGAAGUUUCACUCUAUAAAUUAGAUACUACAAAGGACAGUAUUACUUUGUAUACCCUGUGACUGCCAGAUUUAGCAAAAAAAAAAAAGAAAAGAAAAGAAAAAAUACAGGACAAGUUAAUUUAGAAUUUCAGAUUCAUCAGAAAUACUUUUUUAGUAUAAGUACAUCCUGUGCAAUAGUUGGAAUACAUACAUGUAUGCCUUAGUAUACAUUGUUUAUCUGAGAUUUAGAUUUGAUAGUACCGCCUUUGCAUUAUCUGGCAACUCUGAGCAUGUAGGCAACCUUCUGUGCUUUAAGCACAAUUGGCCCAGAGCAAGUUCCAUUCAGUCAACAGGACUCCUUUAUUCCAGUAUGUAUAUUAAAAGAGCACUCAUAUGAUCUGUAAUCUCCUGUAAAGAUGUUUGAAAACUAAAGAUACCCAUAAAUGUAAAGUACCAGCAAGGUUUAAAGCAUGGAAUGAGACGGAAUGGGCAACUAUGCCCAUCUCAUUUGUGUAUACAUGAGAUGAGAGUUCCUUUAGGACUAACAUGCUAUGUAUGUUUGGGAACAUUUUCGCUGCAUUAAAUAGUAGUUUCAUGUUUAACAAUAUGAAACAAACAAGGCAUAUUUUUCAAAAACUGAAGAAAAAUUAAGCCCAUUAGGAUACAGAACUCAACUUUUAAGAAAAUAAGUGGAGGAUUUAGAAAGUUGGAAGAGGAAACAUAGAGUUAGUUUGAAGAAAAGGGGACCAUCCCAAGGCAUAAAGGGGAGGAUGCCAAGGCAUAAAGGAUGCCCAGUAGCUUCACUGUCAAAUAUGGGAAUGAAAGCCUCAGAAACGUCUUCUUCACUAUAGGCUGUAGAACAACAAGUUGCAACUACUAAGUUAAAAAUAUGUAGAGGAGUCAGGUGCUAUAGUUAAGGAAGGUAAAGUUUCCAUCUUAACACUCCUAGCUAUUAAAAACCAUUGCCCAUAACAAAAUUAAAUGCAUGUAAUUCCAAUUUUAUAACAUAAAGUGACACAGAUAAAUUAUGAUUUCUAAAAUACGUAACAAAUACAAAAUCUUCCAAAAGAUAAAAAUUUAACUGUUCUAGUAGUCUACCCAAAUAGUAGUUUAUUUUAGCUAUCCUAGUAUGACUAAUUGUUUACACCACUGCCUACAGACCCACUGACACUAAAAAUAGAUUAUAUGUGAAGUCACCAUGUGAAUCUUCGAAUUAGACAUAUGUAUACAUUACAUAUAUACAUAUUUAUUAUAUUAUAUAUAUGUGAUGAAUGCUCUUACAUUAUUUUACAGUAGUUGUUACAAUCCUUUUAAUAGGAUUAUUUUAGCAUUGAAAAAGUAUAGUAGAUACUUUUCCCCAAAUAUCUAAAAUUAUCAUUUGUGUGAGUAUUUGUAGGUGUGUGUAUAGCAUGUAUGUAGGAUGUUAAUGAGGGGGUAGAUUAACAAUAUAUGGAGAAAAAUAAUAUGGAAAGUAGGUCUCAGCUACUUGCUGAGUCAUUGUGAAAAAAUAGUAACAGAAAACUUUUUAUUAUUUAUGCAGUGAAUUUCAAACAUCUUAUUCUACCAUGGCAUACAUAUUCUAAAAUUUACAAGAAGUUUAACUGAAAGGGAAUUCUCUAAUAAUUUCUUGAAUUUUGUUUGCAACUGAAGAGAGAUGUCUAACUAAAAUAGGUUUUGUUUGGGGAGGAACAUAUUUGGGAAUUAUUCUGCCAUCUCAUUAUUUAGAGUGUUUUGCCACUUGUCAUUAUAGAGAAACUCAAAAUUGAUUAUAGCAUUUAAAGUUACAUAGAGGUUGUAACAAUAUCCAUUUAUAUUGAGUAAAAUAUAGUGAAUUAUAUUUGCAAAUUAUAAAGCAAGCUUUUAAGACAAACUUUCAUUGUCUACUGAAUACCUGUGCAGUUUUUCAAUGUGGCCUUAAUUUAUAGAUAUACCAGAUAAUUUGUUCCUCUGGAAAGUGUGUGAUAAAAAAAAUUGACUCAAUCUAAUAAACUGUUUGAGAGACAGAAUAGCAUAGUAAUUGAAAGCCCAGACUGUCUUCUUAAACUACAUGGAUUUAAAUCCUUUCUUAAUCACUAACUAUAUGACAGUAAGAGAUUUUUUUAAAUCCUUUUGCUUCCCUUUUAUUUUCUGAAAUAUAGAGGAAAGAAGGAACAUUCGUUUCCAAGGUUUUGAGUCUAAAAUCUCAGAAGGCCAUCAUGGUAUCAUAGUUAAAGAGUUUAGAAUCUGAAUCCAGAUAAUUUAUAUUCAAGACUCAGUUCUGCAGCUUACUAGUUUAGCUUUGGGGCAAAAGUAAUUAAAUUUCUCUGCAUGCAUCAGUUUCACCUUUGUAAAAUUAGAAUAAUAGUAUUAAUUAGCUUGUGAGCUUAUUCACGUGAACUGCUUAGAACAAUACCUGAUUUGGACAAAUCAUAUAAUAAAUGUAAGCUAUUAUUAAAUCUUAUAAAGAUUAAAAGAUUAAACAAAAUAAAGAAAGCUGUUAAGC
Molecule: long non-coding RNA, 6199 nt
Filed under: Sus scrofa (pig)
Lineage: Eukaryota; Metazoa; Chordata; Mammalia; Artiodactyla; Suidae
Description: lncRNA (ENSSSCG00000054753.1)
Source: RNAcentral